This 730-nucleotide ribosomal RNA is filed under the name uncultured bacterium. Its description in RNAcentral is "SSU rRNA". It matches the Rfam family "Bacterial small subunit ribosomal RNA", at positions 665 to 1396 of the family's 1533-position model. The record is from RNAcentral.
AAUUUCUAGUGUAGAGGUGAAAUUCGUAGAUAUUAGAAAGAAUACCAAUUGCGAAGGCAGCUUUCUGGAUCAUUACUGACACUGAGGAACGAAAGCAUGGGUAGCGAAGAGGAUUAGAUACCCUCGUAGUCCAUGCCGUAAACGAUGUGUGUUAGACGUUGGAAAUUUAUUUUCAGUGUCGCAGGGAAACCGAUAAACACACCGCCUGGGGAGUACGACCGCAAGGUUAAAACUCAAAUGAAUUGACGGGGACCCGCACAAGUAGUGGAGCAUGUGGUUUAAUUCGAAGAUACGCGCAGAACCUUACCAACACUUGACAUGUUCGUCGCGACUCUAAGAGAUUAGAGUUUUCGGUUCGGCCGGACGAAACACAGGUGCUGCAUGGCUGUCGUCAGCUCGUGUCGUGAGAUGUUGGGUUAAGUCCCGCAACGAGCGCAACCCUCACUUUUAGUUGCCAUCAUUAAGUUGGGCACUCUGAAAGAACUGCCAGUGAUAAGCUGGAGGAAGGUGGGGAUGACGUCAAGUCCUCAUGGCCCUUACGUGUUGGGCUACACACGUGCUACAAUGGUAUCUACAACAGGAAGCAAGACUGCGAAGUUAAGCAAAUCCCUAAAAGAUACCUCAGUUCGGAUUGCACUCUGCAACUCGAGUGCAUGAAGCUGGAAUUACUAGUAAUCGUGGAUCAGCGUGCCACGGUGAAUGCGUUCCCGCCCCUUGCACACACCGCCCG